CGGGCCCUACGGGGCGCAGCAGGCGCGAAACCUUUACACUGCACGAAGGUGCGAUAAGGGGACUCCGAGUGCGAGGGCAUACAGUCCUCGCUAUUGUGUACCGUAGGGUGGUACACGACCAAGAGCUGGGCAAGACCGGUGCCAGCCGCCGCGGUAAUACCGGCAGCUCGAGUGAUGGCCGAUUUUAUUGGGCCUAAAGCGUCCGUAGCU
This 210-nucleotide ribosomal RNA is filed under the name uncultured archaeon. RNAcentral describes it as "partial 16S ribosomal RNA". It matches the Rfam family "Archaeal small subunit ribosomal RNA", at positions 317 to 526 of the family's 1478-position model. The record is from RNAcentral.